AUGAACGCUAGCGGGAGGCCUAACACAUGCAAGCCGAGCGGUAGAGUUUCUUCGGAAACUUGAGAGCGGCGCACGGGUGCGUAACACGUGUGCAACCUACCUUUAUCUGGGGGAUAGCCUUUCGAAAGGAAGAUUAAUACCCCAUAAUAUAAUGAUUGGCAUCAAUUAUUAUUGAAAACUCCGGUGGAUAGAGAUGGGCACGCGCAAGAUUAGAUAGUUGGUGAGGUAACGGCUCACCAAGUCAAUGAUCUUUAGGGGUCCUGAGAGGGAGAUCCCCCACACUGGUACUGAGACACGGACCAGACUCCUACGGGAGGCAGCAGUGAGGAAUAUUGGACAAUGGGUGAGAGCCUGAUCCAGCCAUCCCGCGUGAAGGAUGACGGUCCUAUGGAUUGUAAACUUCUUUUGUACAGGGAUAAACCUACCCCCGUGAGGGUAGCUGAAGGUACUGUACGAAUAAGCACCGGCUAACUCCGUG
RNAcentral lists this ribosomal RNA (478 nucleotides) under uncultured bacterium. RNAcentral's name for it is "partial 16S ribosomal RNA". It matches the Rfam family "Bacterial small subunit ribosomal RNA", at positions 29 to 507 of the family's 1533-position model. The record is from RNAcentral.